CAGAAUCAAUCCUUGAACACUGCCUCCACGUCGCCGGCUCAAUCUGGGCGAGAACCCAGACUUCCACCGCAGCCCCGCAAUCUGCAGACCUCAGCGGCAGCGCAGGUGGCAGACCUGCCUCCUUUGCCUGUGAGUCAUGGCAGCUCCCAUGAAUGGCCAAGUGUGUGUGGUGACUGGUGCCUCCAGGGGUAUUGGCCGUGGCAUUGCCUUGCAGCUCUGCAAAGCAGGCGCCACAGUUUACAUCACUGGCCGCCAUCUGGACACCCUUCGCGUUGUUGCUCAGGAGGCACAAUCCCUCGGGGGCCAAUGUGUGCCUGUGGUGUGCGAUUCAAGCCAGGAGAGUGAAGUGCGAAGCCUGUUUGAGCAAGUGGAUCGGGAACAGCAAGGGCGUCUAGAUGUGCUGGUCAACAAUGCUUAUGCAGGGGUCCAGACGAUCCUGAACACCAGGAAUAAGGCAUUCUGGGAAACCCCUGCCUCCAUGUGGGAUGAUAUCAACAACGUCGGACUCAGUGUGACAAGCUGGCUGCUGACUGUGCCCACGAGCUGCGGCGCCAUGGGGUCAGCUGUGUGUCUCUGUGGCCGGGGAUUGUGCAGACAGAACUGCUGAAGGAGCAUAUGGCAAAGGAGGA
Molecule: unclassified non-coding RNA, 629 nt
Filed under: Homo sapiens (human)
Lineage: Eukaryota; Metazoa; Chordata; Mammalia; Primates; Hominidae
Description: dehydrogenase/reductase 1 (ENSG00000284868.2)
Source: RNAcentral